GUCAUAUGCUUGUCUCAAAGAUUAAGCCAUGCAUGUCUCAGUACAAGCCAAAUUAAGGUGAAACCGCGAAAGGCUCAUUAAAUCAGUUAUGGUUCCUUAGAUCGUACCCACAAUUACUUGGAUAACUGUGGUAAUUCUAGAGCUAAUACAUGCAAACAGAGCUCCGACCGGAGACGGAAGGAGUGCUUUUAUUAGAUCAAAACCAAUCGGUGGCGGGUUCGCUCGUUAUCGUACAACUUGGUGACUCUGAAUAACUUUACGCUGAUCGCACGGUCAUCGCACCGGCGACGCAUCUUUCAAAUGUCUGCCUUAUCAACUGUCGAUGGUAGGUUCUGCGCCUACCAUGGUUGUAACGGGUAACGGGGAAUCAGGGUUCGAUUCCGGAGAGGGAGCCUGAGAAACGGCUACCACAUCCAAGGAAGGCAGCAGGCGCGCAAAUUACCCACUCCCGGCACGGGGAGGUAGUGACGAAAAAUAACGAUACGGGACUCAUCCGAGGCCCCGUAAUCGGAAUGAGUACACUCUAAACCCUUUAACGAGGAUCAAUUGGAGGGCAAGUCUGGUGCCAGCAGCCGCGGUAAUUCCAGCUCCAAUAGCGUAUAUUAAAGUUGUUGCGGUUAAAAAGCUCGUAGUCGAAUUUGUGUCUCGCGCCGCCGGUUCAUCGUCCGCGGUGUUAACUGGCGAGUCGCGAGACGUCCUGCCGGUGGGCCGCUAGCUCGCGAGGGCUAGUAGCGCCCAACUCAAUCCUGCCGCGGUGCUCUUCAUUGAGUGUCGAGGUGGGCCGGCACGUUUACUUUGAACAAAUUAGAGUGCUUAAAGCAGGCUAAAACUUCGCCUGAAUACUGUGUGCAUGGAAUAAUGGAAUAGGACCUCGGUUCUAUUUUGUUGGUUUUCGGAACCCCGAGGUAAUGAUUAAUAGGAACGGAUGGGGGCAUUCGUAUUGCGACGUUAGAGGUGAAAUUCUUGGAUCGUCGC
Molecule: ribosomal RNA, 975 nt
Filed under: Trigonopterus sp. 877 AR-2022a
Lineage: Eukaryota; Metazoa; Arthropoda; Insecta; Coleoptera; Curculionidae
Description: SSU rRNA
Rfam family: Eukaryotic small subunit ribosomal RNA
Source: RNAcentral